AUAAACGCUGAAGGCAUCUAAGCGUGAAACUCUCCCUAAGAUUAGAUCUCUCAUCCUUCGGGAGUAAGGCACGUCGUAGACUAUGACGUUGAUAGGUCGGAGGUGGAAGCGCGGUAACGCGUGUAGCUGACCGAUACUAAUAAGCCGAGGGCUUGACCUUA
This 161-nucleotide ribosomal RNA is filed under the name Flavonifractor sp. An82. Its description in RNAcentral is "partial 23S ribosomal RNA". It matches the Rfam family "Bacterial large subunit ribosomal RNA", at positions 2764 to 2925 of the family's 2925-position model. Lineage: Bacteria; Bacillati; Bacillota; Clostridia; Eubacteriales; Oscillospiraceae. The record is from RNAcentral.